Molecule: ribosomal RNA, 875 nt
Filed under: Staphylococcus sp. T16(2011)
Lineage: Bacteria; Bacillati; Bacillota; Bacilli; Caryophanales; Staphylococcaceae
Description: bacterial SSU rRNA
Rfam family: Bacterial small subunit ribosomal RNA
Source: RNAcentral
UUAGCGGCGGACGGGUGAGUAACACGUGGGUAACCUACCUAUAAGACUGGAAUAACUUCGGGAAACCGGAGCUAAUGCCGGAUAACAUAUAGAACCGCAUGGUUCUAUAGUGAAAGAUGGUUUUGCUAUCACUUAUAGAUGGACCCGCGCCGUAUUAGCUAGUUGGUAAGGUAAUGGCUUACCAAGGCGACGAUACGUAGCCGACCUGAGAGGGUGAUCGGCCACACUGGAACUGAGACACGGUCCAGACUCCUACGGGAGGCAGCAGUAGGGAAUCUUCCGCAAUGGGCGAAAGCCUGACGGAGCAACGCCGCGUGAGUGAUGAAGGUUUUCGGAUCGUAAAACUCUGUUAUUAGGGAAGAACAAAUGCGUAAGUAACUGUGCGCAUCUUGACGGUACCUAAUCAGAAAGCCACGGCUAACUACGUGCCAGCAGCCGCGGUAAUACGUAGGUGGCAAGCGUUAUCCGGAAUUAUUGGGCGUAAAGCGCGCGUAGGCGGUUUCUUAAGUCUGAUGUGAAAGCCCACGGCUCAACCGUGGAGGGUCAUUGGAAACUGGGAAACUUGAGUGCAGAAGAGGAAAGUGGAAUUCCAUGUGUAGCGGUGAAAUGCGCAGAGAUAUGGAGGAACACCAGUGGCGAAGGCGACUUUCUGGUCUGUAACUGACGCUGAUGUGCGAAAGCGUGGGGAUCAAACAGGAUUAGAUACCCUGGUAGUCCACGCCGUAAACGAUGAGUGCUAAGUGUUAGGGGGUUUCCGCCCCUUAGUGCUGCAGCUAACGCAUUAAGCACUCCGCCUGGGGAGUACGACCGCAAGGUUGAAACUCAAAGGAAUUGACGGGGACCCGCACAAGCGGUGGAGCAUGUGGUUUAAUUCG